RNAcentral lists this ribosomal RNA (497 nucleotides) under uncultured bacterium. RNAcentral's name for it is "partial 16S ribosomal RNA". It matches the Rfam family "Bacterial small subunit ribosomal RNA", at positions 28 to 507 of the family's 1533-position model. The record is from RNAcentral.
GACGAACGCUGGCGGCGUGCCUAAUACAUGCAAGUAGAACGCUGAAGAGAGGAGCUUGCUCUUCUUGGAUGAGUUGCGAACGGGUGAGUAACGCGUAGGUAACCUGCCUUGUAGCGGGGGAUAACUAUUGGAAACGAUAGCUAAUACCGCAUAACAAUGGAUGACACAUGUCCUUUAUUUGAAAGGGGCAAUUGCUCCACUACAAGAUGGACCUGCGUUGUAUUAGCUAGUAGGUGAGGUAAUGGCUCACCUAGGCGACGAUACAUAGCCGACCUGAGAGGGUGGUCGGCCACACUGGGACUGAGACACGGCCCAGACUCCUACGGGAGGCAGCAGUAGGGAAUCUUCGGCAAUGGGGGCAACCCUGACCGAGCAACGCCGCGUGAGUGAAGAAGGUUUUCGGAUCGUAAAGCUCGGUUGUAAGUCAAGAACGGGUGUGAGAGUGGAAAGUUCACACUGUGACGGUAGCUUACCAGAAAGGGACGGCUAACUACGUG